Molecule: ribosomal RNA, 460 nt
Filed under: uncultured bacterium
Lineage: Bacteria
Description: partial 16S ribosomal RNA
Rfam family: Bacterial small subunit ribosomal RNA
Source: RNAcentral
CCUACGGGCGGCAGCAGUGAGGAAUAUUGGUCAAUGGACGAGAGUCUGAACCAGCCAAGUAGCGUGAAGGAUGACUGCCCUAUGGGUUGUAAACUUCUUUUAUAUGGGAAUAAAACGUUCCACGUGUGGGAUUUUGUAUGUACCAUAUGAAUAAGGAUCGGCUAACUCCGUGCCAGCAGCCGCGGUAAUACGGAGGAUCCGAGCGUUAUCCGGAUUUAUUGGGGUUAAAGGGAGCGUAGGUGGAUUGUUAAGUCAGUUGUGAAAGUUUGCCGCUCAACCGUAAAAUUGCAGUUGAAACUGGCAGUCUUGAGUACAGUAGAGGUGGGCAGAAUUCGUGGUGUAGCGGUGAAAUGCUGAGAUAUCACGAAGAACUCCGAUUGCGAAGGCAGUUCACUGGACUGCAACUGACACUGAGGCUCGAAAGUGUGGGUAUCAAACAGGAUUAGAUACCCGAGUAGUC